RNAcentral lists this ribosomal RNA (254 nucleotides) under uncultured bacterium. Its description in RNAcentral is "partial 16S ribosomal RNA". It matches the Rfam family "Bacterial small subunit ribosomal RNA", at positions 524 to 776 of the family's 1533-position model. The record is from RNAcentral.
UACGUAGGGUGCAAGCGUUGUCCGGAAUUAUUGGGCGUAAAGAGCUCGUAGGCGGUUUGUCGCGUCUGCUGUGAAAACGCGAGGCUCAACCUCGCGCCUGCAGUGGGUACGGGCAGACUGGAGUGCGGUAGGGGAGAUUGGAAUUCCUGGUGUAGCGGUGGAAUGCGCAGAUAUCGGGAAGAACACCCGUGGCGAAGGCGGCUCUCUGGGACGGUACUGACGCUGAGACGCGAAAGCGUGGGGGAGCGAACAGG